GGGGGCGCAAGGCCUCGAUAGAUCAUUAAGAGUACAGGAGACCAGGCCGAGGACGUACGGUCACCUCGUAAAUCAUCCGACAAAAAAAUAAGUGCAAACUUAUCUACAUGGCAAAAAGCUUUUGCUGCCUUCAACGGUCGCAUCGGCUUUGCGCCGGCUUUUGCCUAACAAGGCAUAGCUCCAUCCCGCUUUUCAUUUGAAAAAAUGAAGCGGGACAUCGUCCUCACUGGCGCCUGACCGGGGAGUACACGGUGUUAUACAUUCGGGCUUGGCCGCGCGUGUUUCCGAACUUCGCGGCGACAUCUUUCGGAAGAGCACAAAGGUUUUCCUCCCGGCUACCAUCCUUUAUGCUCUAAAAAAUUCAGCCGGGAUAUGUCUGUACCAUCUCUUGCACCGUAUGAUCUACACGUGGGUUCAAUUCCCACCGUCUCCACAU
Molecule: transfer-messenger RNA, 436 nt
Filed under: Candidatus Sungbacteria bacterium RIFCSPHIGHO2_01_FULL_51_22
Lineage: Bacteria; Candidatus Sungiibacteriota
Also listed under: 4 other names
Rfam family: transfer-messenger RNA
About the family: Bacterial tmRNA, also known as 10Sa RNA or SsrA, is named for its dual tRNA and mRNA-like properties. Its role is to liberate the mRNA from a stalled ribosome. To accomplish this part of the tmRNA is used as a reading frame that ends in a translation stop signal.
Source: RNAcentral